Molecule: transfer RNA, 73 nt
Filed under: Prevotella sp.
Lineage: Bacteria; Pseudomonadati; Bacteroidota; Bacteroidia; Bacteroidales; Prevotellaceae
Also listed under: 1 other name
Description: tRNA-Asp
Rfam family: tRNA
About the family: Transfer RNA (tRNA) molecules are approximately 80 nucleotides in length. Their secondary structure includes four short double-helical elements and three loops (D, anti-codon, and T loops).
Source: RNAcentral
CGGAUAGUAGCUCAAUAGGAAGAACACCUGCCUGUCAAGCAGGAAGUUGUCGGUUCGAGUCCGACCUAUCCGG